This 427-nucleotide ribosomal RNA is filed under the name uncultured bacterium. RNAcentral's name for it is "bacterial SSU rRNA". It matches the Rfam family "Bacterial small subunit ribosomal RNA", at positions 355 to 774 of the family's 1533-position model. The record is from RNAcentral.
UGGGGAAUUUUGGACAAUGGACGCAAGUCUGAUCCAGCCAUGCCGCGUGCGGGAAGAAGGCCUUCGGGUUGUAAACCGCUUUUGUCAGGGAAGAAACGAGUUUCUCUAAUACAGAGACUUAAUGACGGUACCUGAAGAAUAAGCACCGGCUAACUACGUGCCAGCAGCCGCGGUAAUACGUAGGGUGCGAGCGUUAAUCGGAAUUACUGGGCGUAAAGCGUGCGCAGGCGAUGAUGUAAGACAGAUGUGAAAUCCCCGGGCUCAACCUGGGACCUGCAUUUGUGACUGCAGCGCUGGAGUGCGGCAGAGGGGGAUGGAAUUCCGCGUGUAGCAGUGAAAUGCGUAGAUAUGCGGAGGAACACCGAUGGCGAAGGCAAUCCCCUGGACCUGUACUGACGCUCAUGCACGAAAGCGUGGGGAGCAAACA